Molecule: ribosomal RNA, 502 nt
Filed under: uncultured bacterium
Lineage: Bacteria
Description: partial 16S ribosomal RNA
Rfam family: Bacterial small subunit ribosomal RNA
Source: RNAcentral
AUUGAACGCUGGCGGCAUGCCUUACACAUGCAAGUCGAACGGCAGCACGGGAGCUUGCUCCUGGUGGCGAGUGGCGAACGGGUGAGUAAUGCAUCGGAACGUACCCGGAAGUGGGGGAUAACGUAGCGAAAGUUACGCUAAUACCGCAUAUUCUGUGAGCAGGAAAGAGGGGGAUCGCAAGACCUCUCGCUUUCGGAGCGGCCGAUGUCGGAUUAGCUAGUUGGUGGGGUAAAGGCCUACCAAGGCGACGAUCCGUAGCGGGUCUGAGAGGAUGAUCCGCCACACUGGAACUGAGACACGGUCCAGACUCCUACGGGAGGCAGCAGUGGGGAAUUUUGGACAAUGGGCGAAAGCCUGAUCCAGCCAUGCCGCGUGAGUGAAGAAGGCCUUCGGGUUGUAAAGCUCUUUCGGCUGAAAAGAAAUCGCACAGGCUAAUACCCUGUGUGGAUGACGGUAUCAGCAUAAGAAGCACCGGCUAACUACGUGCCAGCCGCCGCCGUAA